GAAAGACCUGAAACCGUUACGGGGGAAGCGGAUUGCGUUGAAUUGUGGGGUGUUAGUGUGUUCAGCCUAUUUUAGGUGUAUUGACAUUGGCAUUUAUCCGCCGUGGGUUUUUGAUGACUGAUUUUGAGUCGUUGGAGGCUGAGGGCUCCAUUUUAUAUGUGAGGACGGCGGAGCGACGACGCGAUACGACCCGUCUUGAAACACGGACCAAGGAGUCUAGCGCGGGUGCGAGUCGGAGGGUGCAAGCCCGUGGGCGAAGUGAAAGCGAGUGUAAAAACGAGCAGUUUGGGGCGGCACGGAAUCGUUGAUUCCAGGACCGACCCGGAGCAGUUGCGCUGGGACCCGAAAGAUGGUGAACUAUGCCGGAGUAGGGCAAAGCCAGAGGAAACUCUGGUGGAGGCUCGUAGCGGUGCUGACGUGCAAAUCGCUCGUCGAACUUGGGUAUAGGGGCGAAAGACUAAUCGAACCAUCUAGUAGCUGGUUCCCUCCGAAGUUUCUCUCAGGAUAGCGGGCCGACAUUCUCAGUUGUUUUGUGCGGUAAAGCGAAUGAUUAGCGCACUCGGGGGCAUUUUGUCUUCGGGCGAUUCUCAAACUUUCAAUGCGCAAGGGCGCCGGUGCUUUGUUGAGCGGCGCCGGGAAAAACGUCGGCCCUGUGGGCCACUUUUGGUAAGCAGAACUGGCGAUACGGGAUGAACCGUAAGCGCGGUUAAGGCGCCUGACUGCCCGCUUAU
Molecule: ribosomal RNA, 731 nt
Filed under: Bonnemaisonia asparagoides
Lineage: Eukaryota; Rhodophyta; Florideophyceae; Bonnemaisoniales; Bonnemaisoniaceae
Description: eukaryotic LSU rRNA
Rfam family: Eukaryotic large subunit ribosomal RNA
Source: RNAcentral